AGUGGCGGACGGGUGAGUAACGCGUGGGUAACCUGCCUCAUACAGGGGGAUAACAGUUGGAAACGGCUGCUAAUACCGCAUAAGCGCACAGUACCGCAUGGUACGGUGUGAAAAACUCCGGUGGUAUGAGAUGGACCCGCGUCUGAUUAGGUAGUUGGUGGGGUAACGGCCUACCAAGCCGACGAUCAGUAGCCGACCUGAGAGGGUGACCGGCCACAUUGGGACUGAGACACGGCCCAA
Molecule: ribosomal RNA, 240 nt
Filed under: uncultured bacterium
Lineage: Bacteria
Description: partial 16S ribosomal RNA
Rfam family: Bacterial small subunit ribosomal RNA
Source: RNAcentral